GAGGAAGCGAUGAUUAUAAAAAAUAAUUCCUCGUUCUGAUAGCUCGAAAUGGGCAUGACAGACAUCUUAUUACACCCAUAGAAUCUGAGCUCC
Non-coding RNA from Gossypium hirsutum (cotton), 93 nucleotides. The record is from Rfam. NCBI's taxonomy places the organism in Eukaryota, Viridiplantae, Streptophyta, Magnoliopsida, Malvales, Malvaceae.